UGGGGAAUAUUGCGCCGUGGGGGGAACCCUGACGCAUCCAUGCCGCGUGUAUGAAGAAGGCCUUAGGGUUGUAAAGUUCUUUCGGUAUUGAGGAAGGUUGAUGUGUUAAUAGCACAUCAAAUUGACGUGCUCUACAGAAUAUCCACCGGCUAACUCCGUGCCAGCAGCCGCGGUAAUACUGAGGGUGCGAGCGUUAAUCGUAAUAACUGGGCGUAAAGGGCACGCAGGCGGUUAUUUCCUCGAGGUGUGAAAGCCCCGGGCUUAACCUGGGAAUUGCUUUUCAGACUGGGUAACUAGAGUACUUUAUGGAGGGGUAAAAUUCCACGUGUACCGUUGAAAUGCGUAAAGAUGAGGAGGAAUACCGAACGCCAAAGCAGCCCCUUGGCAAUGUACUGACGCUCAUGUGCUUCUUCUGGGGAGCAAACAGGAUUAGAUACCCUGGUAGUCCACGCUGUCACGCUGUCGAUUUGNNGGUUGGGGUUUAACUCUGGCGCCCGUAGCUCACGUGAUAAAUCGACCGCCUGGNGAGUAUGNNCGCUAGGCUA
This 545-nucleotide ribosomal RNA is filed under the name uncultured bacterium. Its description in RNAcentral is "bacterial SSU rRNA". It matches the Rfam family "Bacterial small subunit ribosomal RNA", at positions 355 to 896 of the family's 1533-position model. The record is from RNAcentral.